This 1837-nucleotide long non-coding RNA is filed under the name Trifolium pratense (red clover). RNAcentral describes it as "long non-coding RNA (TPRA_LNC012410)". The record is from RNAcentral. Lineage: Eukaryota; Viridiplantae; Streptophyta; Magnoliopsida; Fabales; Fabaceae.
GUGCGAACACCGUCGAUACUAGUUUCUUCUUGGGAAGAUAAGUUAGAACCGUAGAAACCUACAGUUAGUUGUGAGAAUCAGGAGUUUUAGUAGACGAUUGUAGGUUGGUUUAAGAUAAGUAGGGGAGAAGAUUAUACCCUUCUUGGAUGUCUUGAGAGUGAGGAAUCAAGCCAAGUGGAGACUUCGCCGAAGGAAAGUGUUCAGGUGUAAAGUGGAGACGAUUGUAAAGUUUGUUUCGGAGAUGGAUGAAUUGGGAGAGCAGAUGAAAGAUCUGUUAUAGAAGAAGUUUGUCAGAUCAAUUGUUUCAUCGUUGAGGACGUUAGCGUAAUUGUGUAAGAAGAUGGACGACAACAUAAGACCUAUAGUGAUUAUAAUAUCAGCAAUUGGAUGAGGAUACAAUUUGAUGGUUUUAUAGAUUAGUUAGCCGGUGUUAGUGUAUUGAAUGCUAGUGUGAUAAGUAAGAUGAAAUUUGGAAUCGAGUUGUCAUCAGAUGCAAGUAAUGUCGUUUGGUAUGACUUAUAUGAAGAGGAUGUUGUAUGUGAAGUCGUCGAAGAGUGAGUUUUGGUUACAGGAAGUGAGUUUUGUAAUCAUGUGUUAUAGAGUGGUGGAAUAGUUGUGCAUUCGUCGAAGGUGGAUGUCGUGUUGCAAUAGAAAGCCUAAAUCAGUUGCUAAGAUUAUAAUUUUUCUAGGAUUAACUGAUUGCUAUCGAAAGCUUAUUGGAAGUUUCUUCUAGAAUGAGUUUGAGUAGUGUGCUUUUACAUACGGACAAGUGGUGGUCUAUGCGUCAACGAAGUGGAAGAUUCAUGGAAAAAGUAUCUGAUUCAUAAUUUGGAAUUGUUGUUGAUUCGGGAGCAAUAUUUUAUAUGAGACGAGAUUUGAAGUGUUCAAGUGAUCUCAAGAGUUUGAAGUAUCUGUUGAUUAAGUAGAGUUGAAUAUGAGUCAGAGAGAAGUGAUUAGAAUUUUGAAGUUGAUUAAGCAGUUCAGUAAUGUAAGAUUGAUAUAUGAGAUGACGUUUAUAAGUGUGAAGUUGAGGAUAAUAAAGUUAACUAAUUAUAUUCUUGAAGAACUAAGAAUUGGUCGGAAAAUAGAGUUGAAUUUAAUUAACAGAUUGGUGCAACUUAGUCAAAGUAAAGAAGUGGAAUAUUCGAGUAGCUGAGGAUGAAAUUAUGAAACAAUGAGGAAAAGUUUAUAUGUUGGAUUUAACCGAGCUCGAGAGAAGAAUUAUAGGAGAAAGUUAUAGUCGGAAUCAGAAUGUUGGAAUCAUUAAGUGAAAAAGUAUGUUGGAAAAUUUCGAAUGAGAUUUUGGAAUAAAAUAUGAAGUUAAGUGCGAAGUGUCAUUAACAAAAGAUAUGGAAUAGGAAAGUUAGUCGUUGGAAGAACGUGCUAAGUAUAAGUAUCGGAGAACAUUUUUGUGAUUAUUCGGGAAUAAGAGCAAGAUAAGUAACUGUCUAUCAAAAAAAGAUUAAGUAUGGAAAAGUUGGUGAGGAUUAGGAAGAUUUAAUUCAUGGUACUUGGUGUAGUGAAGACAGACGUAAUAUAAGUGUAGUACUUGAUAAAGAAAGUAAAGGACUUUAGAUAUAAUAUUCAAUGGAGGUUUCGUGUUUAAGAAGCACUAUUAUAGUUUGGUAAAGAUGGUUGAUGCCACCAUCAUGAUUGUUGUCUAUCUAUUAACAAAUUGAGGAACUGACCGUCCUUAAUCUUUUGUUGAUAGUAGAUGAAAUCGUGUUGAAUGGAUGAGACUAAUUUUGUCAAACUUUGGUAGUGUCUAGAGUUUUGGAUGUUUUGAUUGGAAAACUAGAUGAAGUGGUCUUGUUCAGAUUGUUUUAGCCAAUUUUCG